This is a long non-coding RNA of Gadus chalcogrammus (walleye pollock), 1345 nucleotides long. RefSeq lists it as uncharacterized. The transcript is spliced from 4 exons. The record is from RefSeq and is a predicted model, not a curated record. NCBI's taxonomy places the organism in Eukaryota, Metazoa, Chordata, Actinopteri, Gadiformes, Gadidae.
GAGUGAAGCCGAACGUUCAGACUGCCCGUUUAAAACCUCGACACUUCUUCGCGCAUAGUUCUUCACACCACGUUAACCUGCUGGAGAGAGCUAAGACCUGCUAUAUAACUUUAAUACAAAAAAGCUUCAUCUCCAUCUUCCUAAUUCAACCUGGUGUCCAAAACAGAGUUUUUUUCUGCUGCCACUAUCGUCAUGAGUGAACCUCCAAAGAGGAUGGGCUGCCUGACCCAAAAAGAUGGGAAGCAAGUGACUGUCAUCAAAAAUCCGUUUGGAAAAGCAUUGAAAGCUAAAUCAACCCAAGUACUCGCCCAGUAUAAAGUGACGUACUAUGAGUGGGACAUGGAUGUUGCUUUCUUAUUCAAUUAUGAAGGACAACACUACUCUCUCAAAGUCGGAAAGGGCCUGGAGCUGGUUCAACAUGCUGAAAAAGAUCUGCCGAAGAACUUGGACAAAGAUUACCGCUUUAGGUGGGGAGAUGAUAAAGGGGAUGGGUGGAGGCGUCUGGUGCAUAAAAAAGACAACGUGGAGAAGCUCCUCUGCUGUGAUGAAAACGGCAAAAUUGUCUUGAUGGACAAAUCGGAAAUACGUGGGAUGAAUUACCUGUUUGAUAUAAAGGACUGGUUUCUAUAAAUGCAAUUCAUUAUUAUUUUUAUGUUGCAUACAAUAUAAAGACAGAUAGAUACAAAGAUACAGAAGAAAAAUACACAUUUUCUUUGUAUCUUUUAUCUUUUUAACCUUGUUAAGCACAUCCCUGCUUGUACAUGUCUGUUAUCUUAUGACAGCAACAAGGAAAAUGUUAUAAUUUUGUAAGGAAUGGCAGAAAACUUUAGCCAUUCCUUACUAGAGAUAAUUCAGAAUUUUGUCUUCAUAUAUAUUGGGUUCCUUCCUUCAUUAUGUUCCUGUGCUGAAUCCAAUUGGGAGAAGACUUGACUCCACAAAAGUGGAUAGAAGCAGGCUUUGGGACCAUCAUUAUUCAUCUGUGAUUGAAAGAGUAUAGUAUUAUCUUAGUACUGUGGAGCUCUGCGGCUUGCACUUGGCAUUACAGUGUAUUGCAAGACUGGCCAGUGUUCUAUGCUACAUGUAGACAUCGAUACAGUUCAGCAUCAACAAUAUGAAUAUUAUUUUACUAUAUCUAUUCUUCUUUUUUUAAUACUCUUGUGUUCUUUAUUUUUCUGCUGUUAUUGUGUACAUUGUGGAUUUCGUUUGGUAUUCUUACACCCUCAUUUCCUGUCUGGGACAACAGAUUUGAAAUGAGACGUGAACUAAAUAGAACUGAUUGCAUCGUUGUUUCCUGCCUUGGAUUAAUAAAGUACGACUUGUUUUAUCUCUUGUAGGUUUUUUUUUA